UGGUUCUGAAUUAAUGAGUAAAUUUUGAAGAUGUCGUUGACACCCAGAGAUUUAAAAGAUAUAACAGAUUUGGUUUCCAAGAAAUUAGAGAUAUAUCUGAACAUCGACGAGAGAGAACGACAUUUCAACACAGAAGGAUGUUACAGAGUCUCGCCUAGAAUGCAUAAAUAUGACGUCAUGUAUCGUCUAGUUGAAAGUCGAGAAUUUGAAAAGAACCUCCAGAAAACCCCAAG
Long non-coding RNA from Patella vulgata (common limpet), 233 nucleotides. RefSeq lists it as uncharacterized. Lineage: Eukaryota; Metazoa; Mollusca; Gastropoda; Patellidae. The record is from RefSeq and is a predicted model, not a curated record. The transcript is spliced from 3 exons.